UUAAAUUGAAGAGUUUGAUCAUGGCUCAGAUUGAACGCUGGCGGCAGGCCUAACACAUGCAAGUCGAACGGUAACAGGAAGCAGCUUGCUGCUUCGCUGACGAGUGGCGGACGGGUGAGUAAUGUCUGGGAAACUGCCUGAUGGAGGGGGAUAACUACUGGAAACGGUAGCUAAUACCGCAUAACGUCGCAAGACCAAAGAGGGGGACCUUCGGGCCUCUUGCCAUCGGAUGUGCCCAGAUGGGAUUAGCUAGUAGGUGGGGUAACGGCUCACCUAGGCGACGAUCCCUAGCUGGUCUGAGAGGAUGACCAGCCACACUGGAACUGAGACAC
RNAcentral lists this ribosomal RNA (332 nucleotides) under Escherichia coli. RNAcentral's name for it is "bacterial SSU rRNA". It matches the Rfam family "Bacterial small subunit ribosomal RNA", at positions 1 to 327 of the family's 1533-position model. Lineage: Bacteria; Pseudomonadati; Pseudomonadota; Gammaproteobacteria; Enterobacterales; Enterobacteriaceae. The record is from RNAcentral.